Molecule: ribosomal RNA, 229 nt
Filed under: uncultured bacterium
Lineage: Bacteria
Description: partial 16S ribosomal RNA
Rfam family: Bacterial small subunit ribosomal RNA
Source: RNAcentral
CGCGUAGGCGGGUUUGUAAGUCAGAGGUGAAAUCCUGCAGCUUAACUGCAGAACUGCCUUUGAUACUGCAGAUCUUGAGUUUGGAAGAGAGAGACGGAAUUCCAGGUGUAGUGGUGAAAUACGUAGAUAUCUGGAAGAACACCAGUGGCGAAGGCGGUCUCUUGGUCCAUAACUGACGCUGAGGCGCGAAAGCGUGGGGAGCGAACAGGAUUAGAUACCCUGGUAGUCC